AGAGAGAGAGAGAGAGAGAGAGAGAGUAAAAAACAUUUAGUCCCAACGAAGUAGAAGAUCAAGUUGGUGAGCCGUGUGAUGGGAAACCUUCCCGCACGGUUCCCCUAUUAUCCAAUUGAAAGCAUGGAAUACAUGUUAACAUACCAUGACAUUCACAACACUCACAACAACAAAAGCAUGGAAUACAUGUUAACAUACCAUGACUUUCACCACCCCAAUUCAACAUACCUUAUUGAAAAAACCACCCAAAACGUGAUGAAUGAAGUAAGAGACGACAUCAAUAUCUUAGCUAAUCAAAGUUACUCUAAGUAUCAAAGACUAUAACCAAAACGCAACAUCAAGACUAGACGUUGAUAUGAUCAUCACCGAUCUAGAGGGUACUAAUAUGCCUCCAACUACGGAAGAGGAAAACGAUAUAUGCAUUGUAUGCUACGGAAAUUACAACGAUGGAAACAAUAUUUGCUCUCUUACUUGCGGACAUAAUUUCCAUUUUCCUUGCAUUGAUCAGUGGCUUCGUACAAAAAUAAGUUGUCCGGUAUGUAGAGAAUGUAAUCUAAUAAAAAGGAUUAUUGGGUGCUAAUCUCCAAUAUCAUGUCACUUUUCUCCUCAUUUCGAUAUUUUUCUUUUUAAUAUUUUUCUUUUUCUUUUUCUUUCACACCAUUUAGAUAUUUUCCUUUCUCACCAUUACAAAUUUCUAUAUUUAUUAAACCACACCGUUUCCAAAUCAGAAACUCAAAUUUACAUACCGCAAAUAUAAAAUCACCAAUGCAAUAAAAUAUAUCCAUAAUCGUGUAUUGAAAAGUACCAAAUCGCAAGUUAAACUCCCGAAAAAUGACAUUGUUUCCUUAUGAAAACGGACCGAAGCUACAGAAUUCUAGAUUUAUGUUGAUCUUCACUUUGUACCUCUAUGCUUUGUUUGAUGCUCCUUUUUAUUUAAAAAAAAACCCCCCUCCCUUUUAAUAUAUUAUACUUAUUAACCCUACUCUUGCUGUUCUCAUGCAAUCUCCUCUAAUCCCACGUCCUUAUACAACAAUAACUUUCAACCCAAGCUCCAACAAAUUCAACCUUAAUGAUAGGUAAAAGGUUGACACCAAAAUUCUAUUUAAAUUUUUUAUCAUAUACAUAUAAACUCUACUAUUCAUGUUCCCAUCCAUUCUCCUCUAAUCACUCAUCCUUUUACAAGAAUAGCUUGCAGCCCAAGCUCCGGCAAAUCCACAACACUCACUUCCACACAAACGCCUAUGAGUGGUAUUGUUAAAGUUAUAUUUAAAUAAAAUCAAAUUAGAUCACGAAAGAACACAGCUUGAAUAUGUGUUGGUUGAGAAAUAUAUCUCUAAGAAGUAUGUGUCGAUUAGAGGUGUCUUUGAUUCAGUAUAUAAAGCCUUCACUUGAUAUAUGUAAAGAUACAAACUCAUUUUAUUAUCCAAAUUAUAUUUAAUUUGGUGCAAUUGUCACCUAUAUAUUAUAUUAUCCAAAUUAUAUUUAAUUCUUACUUCAUUCAAAUAUGGGAAACAAUUUACGAUAUUCAUCUUUUGCCUGGACAAUUACAAAACAGACAAAUAUAUUACUAUCACUAACCAAUACCAAAUGGAUCAACAAAUCCUUAACAGCUUAUUAGACAACAAAACAUACGAGGAAUACCCCUAGUCUUUAAUAAUAAAGUUAAACUAGCUGCCUUUUUAGGCAUCCACCUCAUCAAUCACGUAGGGGUUUUUUUUGGACACGUGGCAUGGUCUUUUGAAACUAUUCUCUCGCUGUAUUGCAAUGGGCUUCUGGUUUGUAAUUGUGUUAUUCAGUGGGCGUUUGAUUUUUUACUCAGGCUGGCCCACAUUUUUUUUAGGGUUUCUUUCAAGUCGCCUUUGGGGAUCAGAGUCACUGUACCCCUUCGGAUCUCACCAAAUCCGAUUAACGUCUAUGUAACGGCUUCGAUUUUCCAAUAUACAAGCAUUGACGUCGUUUCCAUCUCUCCUCCCACUCUUUCACAUCUAAUCAUCGAAGGUGACCGAUUGAAGUUCCGCCUAUAAAUAUGUUUUUGACUGCGAUGACCAGCUUCACCGCUCCAAAAUCUGAAAGAACAAUCUCUGUCAAGCAUCAAUCCCAACUAUGAUUCCACGACUGAGAGUGAUAAAUAACUUACAACCCUUGUGUGCUCAUGACUUUGUGUAUUCCAAUUGGUAACCAGACUUCUAUUACAAACGAUGACGUCAACAUCCACAUCGAUAUUGUCAAUCCACAUCUGCUGUCUCAGAGCAUUGAGAAUCCGAUCUAAGCUGCUGUACAGUUAGUUUAGUACCAAUUAUGGAAGUGAACUUGGGAAGAUUAUGCUUGACACGACGUUUGAGGAACGAGAUUUACUGAAUGAAAAGACUGUGCCAGGGGAUAUCAUAGCUCCUAAUGGAGUGAGGGUGGUGCUAUGAAAAUGCAAGUGGAAGCUAAACAUAAAAAGAGAGUCCAGGCCAGAUUCUUGAGUCUAAAGGUAAUUAUGCAUUGCUUAUCUUUGCAUGUCUGCUGAUUUUUGCUUUCCAUUCCCUUAAAGAAUAGGUAAAGCGAAUGUUAUAUGUUGGCUUUAGUGGCUGAAACUCCAAUAUGCCUUUUAUGGUUAUUUUCCUAUCAGCUGAAAUAUAUUUCAGUUUAUCUUCAUUCUUUCAUGCUCUUCAGAUUGUUCAGGAUUUAUAAUGAUUUUGAUUGUGUGUUUGUCUACUUAGGCUGUUGCUUUUAAAAUGGUUUUCGUAUAUAUUGAUUUUGGGUUUGAUAUCUUUAUUAUCGUACCGUGCCGAACAAGGAGAGGAGUGUUAAUUGCAGUGAAAAGCCAGAAGAGAGGGAUACCCAAUUAAGAAUUUAAAAGUCUGUAGAAAAGAAGAUGACAAUGAUGGGAAAUUUCAUCAUGAGAGCUUUGUGGAGCAAACUUCUAAUAGCUCAAAUGGAGGUGCAUCAUGAGUAGCAGUAAAGUUUGGACAACUUCUGACGUGGGAACUUAAACGGGAAAUUCAUAUGAUGAUGAUAACGGUGUGGGGAUGAUUGGGAAGCUCUUGCUGAUGUAGUAACAGCUGAAGAAGAGAAUAAAAAUAUGAUCUCCUCCAUGAGUACGUCAAGGAGCAAUAGAGUUUGGACAACUUCUGAUGUGGGUGAUUCCAAUCUUGACGCAACAUAUAUUGUGGGUGUUAGAGAUAGAAAGCAUGAUUGUUAGAAUACCAUCAAAGAAGGAAAAAGCAGUUGACGAAAUUCUCCAGCAAUCGAUGCCAUUAUUAAGUGCCUCGACAACCAUUAUUUACUUCUUCAGUUAUAAGUGUUUACCGCUUUGCGUUACAUUUUGAUUUAUAUAUCUUUUUGCAUGCAAGUGACCUGUUAAAAAAUAUGAUCUAUAGAUAAUGCACACACUACCUGAUUCAAAGCUCUCUCGCUAUGUUUUCUACUAGCAGCAUACCUAUAUAUAUGAUUUAUGAUUAAUGUCA
This is a long non-coding RNA of Brassica napus (rape), 3452 nucleotides long. RefSeq lists it as uncharacterized. The record is from RefSeq and is a predicted model, not a curated record. Lineage: Eukaryota; Viridiplantae; Streptophyta; Magnoliopsida; Brassicales; Brassicaceae. The transcript has 4 exons.